UGGGGAAUAUUCCGCAAUGGGCGCAAGCCUGACGGAGCAAGACCGCGUGAGGGAGGAAGGCUCUUGGGUUGUAAACCUCAAAAAAUCGGGAAGAAAAAAUGACGGUACCGAAAAUUAAGCAUCGGCUAACUCCGUGCCAGCAGCCGCGGUAAUACGGAGGAUGCAAGCGUUAUCCGGAAUCAUUGGGCGUAAAGAGUCCGUAGGUGGUUAUUCAAGUCGGCGGUCAAAGGCCAGAGCUAAACUCAGGAAAGGCCGUGGAAACUGAAAAACUAGAGUAGAAGAGGGGUAAAGGGAAUUCCCUGUGUAGCGGUGAAAUGCGUAGAGAUAGGGAAGAACACCUGUGGCGAAAGCGCUUUACUAGACUCAAACUGACACUAAGGGACGAAAGCUAAGGGAGCGAAAGGG
Molecule: ribosomal RNA, 405 nt
Filed under: uncultured Chroococcales cyanobacterium
Lineage: Bacteria; Bacillati; Cyanobacteriota; Cyanophyceae; Chroococcales
Description: bacterial SSU rRNA
Rfam family: Bacterial small subunit ribosomal RNA
Source: RNAcentral